CUUAAAAUCUCCCAUUGUUCCUACCUCGUUGCCUUCGCCUUCACCUUCGCCGGCACCGUCAUUGCUUUCUCUAUUCUAUCUCUCUCUCUGAUGUAGGUUCGUGCCUCAAGUUUGGCGCUGCCGCACCUAUGUUGCUGCCGGCGGGCCUGCGCCGUCGCCUUCACGUUCGUAUUCGCCGGCACCGUCCUCAAGUUUAGGAAAUGAACAGUGCACAAUGUUUGAGCUCAAGAAGCUAUUCAAGGUGCUGCCCUUGUCACUAGCAUCAAAAUGAUAAAAUAAUUGAGGGCGAAGUCAUAGAUGUAAGAGUGGAAGUCAUGGUCUAAGAGGAUGUUGGAUGGUUUUGACAUCACUGUGGAUGAACUUUAGGGACUACACUCAUGGAGGUACACUAUGAGGUUGGUGACGGUUCACCAUUUCUCCUUGGUUCAAAUUUGUGCUAGAAAACUCAUCAUUGCUUUGUGGAGCCUUUUAUAAGAUACUUUUGGAAGUGAUUUUAUCAAAAAUGAUGUUGAAGAUUGGUAGUUUUUUAUUUUAUUUUAGUAAAGAAAGGAAUAAAUGUGAAAGUAUGAUGACUCCCA
Malania oleifera is the source of this 578-nucleotide long non-coding RNA. RefSeq lists it as uncharacterized. The transcript is spliced from 3 exons. The record is from RefSeq and is a predicted model, not a curated record. Lineage: Eukaryota; Viridiplantae; Streptophyta; Magnoliopsida; Santalales; Ximeniaceae.